This 2343-nucleotide unclassified non-coding RNA is filed under the name Bactrocera latifrons. Its description in RNAcentral is "uncharacterized LOC108978848, transcript variant X1". The record is from RNAcentral. Lineage: Eukaryota; Metazoa; Arthropoda; Insecta; Diptera; Tephritidae.
UUUAGUUUAGACAGGGUAGUUGUGUUAUUUGUGGGUAUUGCUCGUUUCAAUAACUUAGUAAAAUAAUAUUGAAGUGAUGGUUGAAUACUAUUGGUUUGGUGUCAUAUUUAAAUUCAUUUAUUCAUAUUAUUUGGAUUACUAAACGGCAUAAUUCCAAAUGUCUAGAUGAAAUAUGCUGUUGCGUUGCUGCUCAUGUAGUUUUGUGUCUAAACGAACUUAAAUGGGCCCAUGAAUGGAAGGAAAUAAAGAGACUUAUAUGUAUAUAUUUUCCAGGUAAAAAUGCAGACUGGAAUUUAUAAACAGAAAAAUACCGGCAGUCACUCGGACAUUAAUCCAACCUUCUCACCUGGCAAUGAAUUGGUGGCAUUUAAUAGUGAAAAAAUCAAUUACCUUUGUGAAGGUGUUGAUCUUAUAUUAAAAGAUCGACAUAAAUGGCACGGAGAUCGAGGCGAUUGGGAUGUGCAAAAUGGAAACCAGGUGAAAUGGUCACGUAACAAUAUCACUGCGACAAUGGAAAGAUUUGAACCUAUAGGUGAUCCUCUUCCACCUCCACCUUCAUCUACAUUUUUAGAUUAUGGACUUGCUGCCACCGUAGUGGCCGCGAUUAAAAAAGAAACUGAUGAUGUGCAAAUUGUAAAUCCUUUCAAUGGAACAUCUAAAGAUUUUGAGUCCCUGGGCGCAGUUGGAUCAGUAGAUCACGUUUAUUCGUACGCUUAUUAUGAGCCUCGGGUAAUGAAAUGUAAUUCAAAUAUUUCUCAAAAAGAUAUAAUAGAAAAAUGUAAGAAUGAACACAUCAGUUCCCGACAAAAUGAAUCAAAGGGGUUUCGUUUUAAAGCAAGUUGUGAGCAGAAAGCAUAUUUGUGCUUGGAAGAUCAUCAUAGUUAUACAACUCAUUAUGGAACAACGGAAAAUUUGUAUGAAGAAGUUAACGAAAAAAAUGUAAAACAUGUACUUUGUGAUAAUAAUAUAUCGAUAUCUGCAAAAAACGUUAAAGAAGAAAUUUUACAAGUACAACGUAACCACUUCCGAGUAAUAGAAGAGCUUAAUUUAUCACUGGAAACUUUUAUUAUGCCUCCUAACCUGACCCCUAACAACAUAGAGGAAACUGCAGAAAGUAUUGUGCACUGUGGAGGUGCUGAAAGCGAUUUGUCGUCGACUGUCGAAACCUCAAAUAAAUUAUUAAAUCCGAAACGUUGUAAAUCUGGUUUGAUAGGAGGACCUUUAUCUUCCUUAUCCAUAUCAGAUCAUCGCAGAAAAAUUUCAAGUACAAGCCUUGAAGAUAUUGUAGAGACUUUUCAAUCUAUGGACGUAAAAGAUAAUUCUCAAAAUUCUUCUAAUAAUGUAGAAUUCGAUGAAGAAGAUUUGGACAGUGGAUUUAGUGGUAGUGUUAUUAGUAGCGGGGCUAGCUACAAUGAAAGCUUGCGGUACAAUAAAAGUAGAGGUGCGCCGCAGACACGCAGCAAUGCCUUUUCUAAAAGCUCGUGUUGUUCAUCCCCACCUUCGAAUGAGUUUUCCAUAAAAAAUAAUGUGACAUCUCAACAAUCUACCUCUGUAACAAAUAAACGAUUUUGCGAAAAUUUUCUCCCAAGGAAAAAAGGGCAUGAAAUAACUCCAUUUAAUAGUUCCCAUCGUUAUUCGGAUAUGCAUCAUUUAUAUAUUCGUUCAACACCAGAAGCACUUUCAACUGGUUCUAAAUCUGGAAGUAGCUUUUAAACUGAAAAUUUGUGAAGUUGUUCGUCAGAAUAUUUCCCAGCACCUUUCAAUUAAGGAAGUCGUAUAACGAGUAUUGCAGGUUAACUGAAGGACGAGGGUUAGUUUGAGAGCAUCUUAUUAUUAUCUAGGAAAAUGUUAGACUUUGAGUAAACUAUUCGAUGGAGCUGUGCACAGAAUCAAGAGCCCGCCAUCACCGUAUCAUCAAGCAACAAACAAAUGAUAAUAUACAUACAUAAUUUUUAGAGUAAAAUAAAGUAAUAUUUUUGCUGUGUGUAAAAUUUGUUGGAUGCUGCUUUAAAAAUUUCAGUGAAACUAUAGGGGCUAUGGGGUAACCAUGUUACUAUGAUUGUUCCAUUCCCGCGACAGGCGGGUUGUUAUUGUAUUUAUCAUAACGGUGUUCAGGUUUUCUGUGAACCUUCUAGGGUCGAAUAACACUCCUAUGAAUUAAUUUUAGUCUUUUCGUAACUAAUAAUAAAUAGUUUUCUGUGACUUGAGCGCACAAAGGAAAAUUAUUACUUUUUAACGCACUAUGUAUUUGUAUAUCACAUUUGUAAUAUAUAUUUAAAUACUUUUACUGUUUAUAAUUUUAUGAAGAAUUAAAUACUCCGCAAUACGCACUUACAAUACCAA